UUGUCAGGUAGGAUAAUCCUUACCUGUUCCUCUAUUCAGAAGGCAGAUAGAACAUGAUGAUUGGAGUUUGCAUGAUUCAUGAUUAAUGUCUCUACGUGAUUAGGGCACACAACACCCUAAUUCUCCUAUCUGAU
This is a small nucleolar RNA of Sorex araneus (European shrew), 134 nucleotides long. Its record names the gene U8. It matches the Rfam family "U8 small nucleolar RNA". From Rfam's summary of the family: U8 is a member of the C/D class of snoRNA which contain the C (UGAUGA) and D (CUGA) box motifs. U8 is the RNA component of a small complex (the U8 snoRNP) which is required for accumulation of mature large subunit ribosomal RNAs, 5.8S and 28S rRNAs. Lineage: Eukaryota; Metazoa; Chordata; Mammalia; Eulipotyphla; Soricidae. The record is from Ensembl.